RNAcentral lists this ribosomal RNA (482 nucleotides) under uncultured bacterium. RNAcentral describes it as "partial 16S ribosomal RNA". It matches the Rfam family "Bacterial small subunit ribosomal RNA", at positions 30 to 507 of the family's 1533-position model. The record is from RNAcentral.
AUUGAACGCUGGCGGCAUGCUCUACACAUGCAAGUCGAACGGUAACAGGCCGCAAGGUGCUGACGAGUGGCGAACGGGUGAGUAAUGCAUCGGAACGUGCCCAGUCGUGGGGGAUAACUACUCGAAAGAGUAGCUAAUACCGCAUACGAUCUAUGGAUGAAAGCGGGGGACCGUAAGGCCUCGCGCGAUUGGAGCGGCCGAUGUCAGAUUAGGUAGUUGGUGGGGUAAAGGCUCACCAAGCCAACGAUCUGUAGCUGGUCUGAGAGGACGACCAGCCACACUGGGACGGAGACACGGCCCAGACUCCUACGGGAGGCAGCAGUGGGGAAUUUUGGACAAUGGGCGCAAGCCUGAUCCAGCAAUGCCGCGUGCAGGAAGAAGGCCUUCGGGUUGUAAACUGCUUUUGUACGGAACGAAACGGCUCUGGUUAAUACCCGGGGCUAAUGACGGUACCGGAAGAAUAAGCACCGGCUAACUACGUG